This is a long non-coding RNA of Dioscorea cayenensis subsp. rotundata (Guinea yam), 1699 nucleotides long. RefSeq lists it as uncharacterized. The transcript has 4 exons. The record is from RefSeq and is a predicted model, not a curated record. NCBI's taxonomy places the organism in Eukaryota, Viridiplantae, Streptophyta, Magnoliopsida, Dioscoreales, Dioscoreaceae.
GCAAUCUGAGGACUUAGUUCACCGCACUCGCUCCGUCCGUGUCCACCUCUACCCUGUGUCCCAUCUCAACGACCUCGCCCUAGCAAAUCCUCCAUCCAAUCAUUCCGAUCGUCCUCUAGCCGGCAAUGUCUGCUGCUCGAACUCCAUCUCCAUCAAGGAUCUCCACUCCCAUAGAGCCUUCUCUGCCCGCCUCCACUUCGUUUGAUGACUCCGUUGAUGAUCAGAUAGCCGUAGUAGGGAAAGAAGUGGUUGGAGAUGUUGGGGAUUGAUCUGAUGGAUUCGAGGAUGGCUUGAUCCGGAGCACGGUGCCUGAUUGUGAGUUGUUGGAAAAAUCGAUUAUCUCCAAGGAUGGGAUUGGUGGAGCGGUGAGGGUUUUUGGAGAGGAAGGUGCUCGUCGACCGCUGCUGCGUUCGAGGAAUCAACCCACCGAGCGAUUGGGGCUUGUUCCUUGCUUCCUUGCUCGCGAUUGAAGCUUUAUGGAAACCCAAAAACUUUUAGCUACAAAAGAUUGCUUCCAUUUCUCAUGGAAAUUGAUAGUUCAAGUAAUUUCACUAGACCACUACCCUUUGACACUUCCAUCAUUGCUGUCUAUUGAUUCUUCGUCAUGCCAAAACCUUCAUUGCUUCAGAUUAUCCUACAAAGAAUCCUCCAUCACAUAAAGUAAAUUCCUUCCCAGAAGGAAAGCAUGAAGUUCAAGGCAUUGGAGAAUCUUUGAAUACUCAAAUGAGUUUUAAUUUAAACGUUGCUGAAAGACAUGUUGGUGAAAACCACAACUUGAGAACUUUUAAUGUUGCCGAUCACAAACCAACAAGAAUAUCAGCACUGAAUGAUGAAAGGCAAGGGGAAAUUAAUGACAUGAAACCAAGGGCUACUCAAGAAGGUGGCAGUUUUGAAUUGGAGCUUAUGAUCGGAUCAUUUCAUUUGCCACCAGACAGGCCUCCAAGUGCUAGCAAUUGCAGGUCUGACAAAGAAAGUUGAAGAAGUUUGCCAGAAAGUAAUAUCAUACAUGGAUAAGACCACCGUUGCAGGUGCUUCUUCACGUGGAGUUCCCUUUCCAAUGGGACACAGUGUUUUUGCUCCGAAACGAGGUAUUUUGAAGAGCCAAAAGAGUGGAUGCCGAGGCCCCUGCCGAUGUUUGGAUUGUAUUACUUUUCUUGUUCAUGCCGAGAAGGGAUUUGAAUUCUCCAAGAAACGGAUACAUGGAGCAGAUGAUCCCAUAGUAGGGCUAAUGAAGGAACUUUCACACCUAAGGAGUUUAGUGGAGAAAUCAGUGCUUAGAGUCGAAGACAAAAAAUACCAUUCAGACCUUCAGCUCAACGAGGAAUCAUCAGCAGUUGAAAGAAGCCUGCCAAAGAGCACUCAAAGCAGAGGAGACAACAAAGAGCUUCUUCAGCCAUAUGUUCAAUGGCCUCAAUGAACAUUGCCGAAUUCCUGGACGAUGUGUGACAUUUGCAGAAUGCACUGCACAGAACAACAUACAAUGAUUGUCUUAAGUGUCUCUAAUGCAUCUUCUGUUAUUUUUUGCCAUUUCUUGUUAUUAAAUAAUGAAAAAGCUUCAUCUCUUUCAGGAAAUGAACAUCACUAAACUUCAAAUAGUGCUUGUUAAUUUGUACUCCCCAUAAAAGCAAGGAGACCAAGAAAUCUUCCCUGAAUUACUCUCUUCAAGUUUUUGUAAAUAUUAUAUGAGAUUUAUUAUUGU